CGGCGAACUAAACUGUCCUUGUAACCCGCUAUAAUUAUCCUCUGGUUUCGCAUUUUGCGCGUUAGAAUUUGGAUCCGUCUCGCGUACCUCUCUCUCACUAGCGUUCUGGAAUCUUCUCUUGUCCAAUUCACACAGCGAGAUCGGUCUACCGAAGCUGAUCACCGGCAGCCAUGGAGGACGAUUUCGAGUUCGCCGAUCACCCUCCUCCGUCGUUCCAUAAUAUGGUACGCUUUCAUCGAUUUCAAUUUCUCUAUUCAUUUCAGUUAGUUGAUCUCGCGAGAUCUGCGUUAAAAGAAGUGCAUUUUUAGGAUUUUAGCUCUGAGAUCUUAUUUUCAUUUUCUAUGUGGAUUCAUUCUCGAUAUGGUCUUCAAUUUUUUUUCUUCAUAUUGACAAUUUAACUCUUGUUUGGAUUUGUGAGUGAUGUUGGUAAAUCUGUAUAUUUGUUAUUUUAUAUUUGUAAAGAAAUUAUUGUAUGAAAUUACGUGGAAGCUUAGUGUUUCUGUAUAUUUUGAUUAAUAUUAAUCUUGGUGGGAGAUAAAUUUCACCAGAAGACAACAGAAUUGAUUACAUUUCAAUGAUUUAGUUCAUUUUCUAAUCUCUGAUUCUUAGUUCAUAAUGUAAUUUGUAUUAUUUAGCACACGUAAUUGGUUAAUUGGUAUUUUUUAAGCUUAUUUUGUUUUGUCUGAUUCUUAGUUCACAAUGUCAUUUGUAUUUUUCACCACGCUUAAUUUUGUUAACUGGUGAUUUCUUUUCCCAAUUGUACCAUUAAGAAAAUUCUUUUUGGAGUUGUGUUAUUUGUCGUAAUCCAGGAGAUAGUUUGAUGGACCUUAGCUCCCCAAGAUAACUUGCUUGUAAUCUAUUAUUUUGAGAAUUGAAUUAUUGAAGGCAGCUUCCCUUCUUUUCCAGUUUCCUUUUAUCUUUCGGUUUGAAGGAUUAUCUUUAUAAAUUGUGUCUUGCUUGUGAUUUGGUUACUUCAACAUUUAUUUACGAGAAUGUUUUUCUCUAGAUAUAUGCAACAAGUGCUCUGCUCCAUUGUUGAACCAGCAAAUUGUUAACUUCUUUGUCAAUAAGCAAAUUGUCACAAAUUUACAAUAGAAUGGGAUCGUAAAAAUUUCUCGUUUGGAUAUCUGCACAAGGUUUGUAAAUAUGUUUUGCAUGACACUAAAGCCCUAUUUGGUAUUGAAUUUCAGAGCCUGAAACUGUUUUUCUAUCAUUUUAGAUGCUGUUGAGAAAAAUAUUUUUAAAAAAGCUGUUUUGUUAUUUUAGUAUUUUUAUGACUAAAACUGAUCAAAUUU
This 1295-nucleotide unclassified non-coding RNA is filed under the name Hevea brasiliensis (rubber tree). Lineage: Eukaryota; Viridiplantae; Streptophyta; Magnoliopsida; Malpighiales; Euphorbiaceae. The record is from RNAcentral.